GGCCUCGUCACUCAGCUGGUCGAGCGUGCGUUGUACAGGAAAACGUAGGUGGCGUCCAUGCGUGGGUUCGAAUCCCACCGAGGCUA
Molecule: transfer RNA, 86 nt
Filed under: Echinostoma caproni
Lineage: Eukaryota; Metazoa; Platyhelminthes; Trematoda; Plagiorchiida; Echinostomatidae
Rfam family: tRNA
About the family: Transfer RNA (tRNA) molecules are approximately 80 nucleotides in length. Their secondary structure includes four short double-helical elements and three loops (D, anti-codon, and T loops).
Source: Rfam by way of RNAcentral